RNAcentral lists this small RNA (458 nucleotides) under Histoplasma capsulatum var. duboisii H88. Its description in RNAcentral is "Histoplasma capsulatum H88 hypothetical RNA". The record is from RNAcentral. Lineage: Eukaryota; Fungi; Ascomycota; Eurotiomycetes; Onygenales; Ajellomycetaceae.
UAUCAUUGCUAUAUAUAUUCACUAUUGCUACAUAUCAUUGCUAUAUAUCAUCACUAUACUUUAUUGCUAUAUAUCAUCGUUGCUAUUGCUACAUAUCAUUGCCAGCUAUCAUUGCUAUAUAUCAUCGCUACAUAUCAUUGCUAUAUAUCAUUGCUAUAUAUCAUUGCCAGCUAUCAUCGCUACAUAUCAUCGCUAUAUAUCAUCGCUAGCUAUCAUUGCUAUAUAUCAUUGCCAGCUAUCAUCACUAUAUUAUCAUCACUAUAUAUCAUCACUACAUAUCAUUGCUAGCUAUCAUUGCUAUAUAUAAUUGCCAGCUAUCAUUGCUAUAUAUCAUUGCUAGCUAUCAUUCAUUCAAACAGAUGAGCAGAUAAAUAGACAGAUAGACAGCCAGAUAACCAUUUAAUAAAUCAGUAUUAUCAGAUAGAUAAAUAGCUAGAUGAUGAUGUUUAUUCUUAUAG